GCUGGGCACAGUGGUGCACACCUGUAAUCCCUGCCACUUGGGAAGCUGAGGCAGGAGGAUCACGUGAUGCCAGGGUUCAAGUCCAGCCUGGGCAACAUUGUCAGACUGUCUUCU
This 114-nucleotide small RNA is filed under the name Marmota monax (woodchuck). Lineage: Eukaryota; Metazoa; Chordata; Mammalia; Rodentia; Sciuridae. The record is from RNAcentral.